Molecule: unclassified non-coding RNA, 233 nt
Filed under: uncultured fungus
Lineage: Eukaryota; Fungi
Description: sequence contains ITS1
Source: RNAcentral
GUAUUUCAUUGCGUUAAACGCGACAUACAUUCCAUGAGACUUUGUUGUAGUGUGUGUGUAAAGACGCAGAGCCACAGCAGGGGGACAGAGCCCACCCAGGCCAUAGAACUACAGAGGGUGCACAGGUGUGAGUGGAUGUGUAAACAGAGCGUGCACAUGCCCCCGUGUAGGGACCAGCAACAACUCUUGUUGACAAUUCGGUAAUGAUCCUUCCGCAGGUUCACCUACGGAAA